Long non-coding RNA from Gallus gallus (chicken), 1122 nucleotides. The record is from Ensembl. Lineage: Eukaryota; Metazoa; Chordata; Aves; Galliformes; Phasianidae.
CUCUCAGGGAUUUAGGAGAUCUGCUAUCAGAACAGGUCUAGAUGCAGCUGAUGAUGAUUAAAGGCUGAUGAACUUCAAAGUAGCAGGAGGCCACCAGGUGCACAGCUGUGCUCUACUGAUGACUUUGCCUUUACAGCCUGCAGCAUCAUGGGGCCACACAGAUGCUUCAGUUCCAGCUGCUGGUGGGAGAAGGUCCAAGAUCUUGCCUCUGGCUUGGAGUCUUUCAGAAUGAUCGCCUGCAGAAGAACAAGAAGGCAAAGGCCACCAAAACGGCUUUUUGGCAUGAUUUACUUGCUGCAAUGCCUGUGACAAUGUGCAUUAAUUUCACUGGGGGUGAACAGAAAUGCACAGAGGCUAUUGAAUGUUGGGUUGUCCCUAGGCAUGUCUGAAUUGAAUCCCGAAGGACAUGACCUGGCCUUGGUAUCCACAGAGUGUUGGAGGUUGAGGUUCCAGGAUAAACCUGGGGUCAGCUUUAAUUCCUCAAGGGAGACUGGACUAGGUUCCUCUGGGAAAACACCCAGGCAGAAUAUGGGCUCCCAGGUUAUAAGGAUCCUUCAUAAAAGACAGAAGUCUCUUGAAGAAACUUAACCCCCAACAUAACCAACCUUACUAUAAUUUUUUAACCAUAAAUGAUUUAAAGAGCAGCUAGUCCAUAAUCUUAGCUUUUAUUAAAAAUAAGUUGUUGCUUUGUCAUGAAGACAUUAAUAAAACAUUUUCUUUUGUAGCAUAUUUUAAGCAAGUUACUUACAGCUCUCUGCCACAGUCUAGCAGGCUUCAUUUUGUUUUCCUCAGAGCAAAGAUGGAAUUCAGAGGUGGAACAACAAACUAAUUCAUGAAGUUUUGUGACAAUGGCCUGACAGACCGAAAUUCUACAUUUCCAACUUUAUUUGCAGUCGCUGGUUAUUCUGGUCAUUUAAAGAGAUGCAAUCUGCUACUAGGACAGUAUAGGAGUAGCUGGUACCAAACGUGUGUGCAAAUCUAAAAAUGGACCUGAGAGCUCAAUAAAAAUUCUUGGCACGGCCCAGCUAUUUGGUUUGGCCUUUCUGUGCAGGUCUACUCCACUUCUUCCAACAGUGUUGUUGUAUCAUCAGAAUCCAAGUACAGUGGCAGUAAACCGCCUUG